Acinonyx jubatus (cheetah) is the source of this 1837-nucleotide long non-coding RNA. RefSeq lists it as uncharacterized. The record is from RefSeq and is a predicted model, not a curated record. The transcript has 4 exons. NCBI's taxonomy places the organism in Eukaryota, Metazoa, Chordata, Mammalia, Carnivora, Felidae.
GGUGGGCUGAGGAGGGAGGAGAUGGAACGAGAAGCAAGCUGGGGAUCAAGGGUCGUGACGGCGCCUGGCCUGAGCCAGCUCUCACCUUCCCUCUCAGGUGCAGUAUGGGGGGGGUCCUUCCUGCGUCCCCAGAGAAGGAUGCUAGCAGUGGGGGCGGGGGGGGUGUCAGCAGACACCCACCACCCGGGAAAAGAUUCACACUCCGAGGACAGAUUCCCUGCACCAUCCGCUCCCCCCCCCCCCCCCCGCCCCAGCCCCUUAUCCUUGAAUGGAGAAGCAGGACCAGGGCUCAGCACCCGCCAGCGAGAUUCGCCCUCUCUGCUCCCGCUGCACAGAGAACCGUCCUGCACAGGUAGGGAGAACCUCCUGGGGGACACAAGGAAAGCUCCGUGGAGGAAGUCACGCUUCAGCAUGGUCUUAAGGAGGCACAGAGAGAUUGCUGUGUCAUCACCGGAGUCUGCGACAGGAUCUGGCAUGGAACAGACCCGGAGUCUCCUCAAAAGAUGACAACUCUCAAGGGGACAGAGCAGCCACAGACUGGGAGAAAGUGUCUGCAAAAGACACAUCUGCUGAAACACCGUCAUCCAAAUUACACAAACAACUCUUAAAACUCAACCGCAGGAAAACUAACAACCCAAUUAAAAAACGGGCCAAAGACCUCAACAGACACCUCACCGAAGGAGACAGACAGAGGGCAGACGAGCACACGAAAAGAUGCUCCACGUCCUACGUCUUCAGGGAACCGCGAAUGCAAGCAACAGGGAGGUACCGGUACACGCCCAUGAGAACGCCCAAGACUCGGAACCGGGGCAGCACCAAAUGCCGGUGGGGAUGUCAUCGUCGCUGGUGGGAAAGCAAAAUGGCACAGCCACCCUGGAAGCCAGUUUGGCAGCUUCUUACUAAACGAAACAUACUCUUAGCAUGUGAUCCAGCAAAAGGGUUCCUGGGUGUUUAGCUGGAGGAGUUGAAAACUUAGGUCCGACAAAAACCUGCACGUGAUGUUGAGAGCAGCUUUAUUCAUCAUCACCAAAAUGUGGAAGCGACCAAGGUGCCCUUCGGUAGGUGAAUGGAUAAAUAAACGGUGGUCCAUCCAGACAAUGGACUAUUAUUCAUUUCUCAUUUAAGAAAUGAGCUAUUAAUUGGGCGCCUGGGUGGCUCAGUCGGUUAAGCGUCCGACUUCGGCUCAGGUCACGGUCUUGCGGUCCGUGGGUUCGAGCCCUGCAUCAGGCUCUGUGCUGACAGCUCGGAGCCUGGAGCCUGCUCUGGAUUCUGUGUCUCCCUCUCUCUCCGCCCCUCCCCCACUCACGCUCUGUCUCUCUCUGUCUCUCAAAAAUAAAUAGAUGUUAAAAAAAAAUUUUCAGAAAUGAGCUAUCAAACCAUGAAAAGCCACGGAGGAACCUUAACUGUAUUAUCGCGCAGGGAAAGAAGCCGGUCUGAAAAGGCUACAGACUGUAUGAUUCUAUCUGUAUGACAUUCUGGAAAAGGCAGAACUAUGGAGACAGUAAAAAGAUCAAUGGUUGCCCGGCGGGGAGGGAGAGAGAGGGAUGAAGAGGAGGAGCACAGAGGAUUUGGAGGGGAAACUACCCCGUACGACAUUGUAAUGGUGGACAAGUGCAAUUAUACAUUUGUCCAAACCCACGGAAUGUGCAAGAGUGACUGUGAACUUUAAUGUAAACCACGGCCUCUGGGUGAUAAUGACGUGUCCACGGAGGUUCAUCGAUUGGAAUCAAUGCACUCUCUGACGUGGGAUGACAGUGAGGGAGGCUGUGCAUGGGUGGGGGGCACGGGGUACAGGGGAAAUCUCUGUACUUUCUGCUCAAUUUUCAAGUGAGCCCGA